This 502-nucleotide ribosomal RNA is filed under the name uncultured bacterium. Its description in RNAcentral is "partial 16S ribosomal RNA". It matches the Rfam family "Bacterial small subunit ribosomal RNA", at positions 30 to 523 of the family's 1533-position model. The record is from RNAcentral.
AUUGAACGCUGGCGGCAGGCUUAACACAUGCAAGUCGAGCGGAGUGAUGGUGCUUGCACUAUCACUUAGCGGCGGACGGGUGAGUAAUGCUUAGGAAUCUGCCUAUUAGUGGGGGACAACAUCCCGAAAGGGAUGCUAAUACCGCAUACGUCCUACGGGCGAAAGCAGGGGAUCUUUAUGACCUCGCUCUAAUAGAUGAGCCUAAGUCGGAUUAGCUAGUUGGUGGGGUAAAGGCCUACCAAGGCGACGAUCUGUAGCGGGUCUGAGAGGAUGAUCCGCCACACUGGGACUGAGACACGGCCCAGACUCCUACGGGAGGCAGCAGUGGGGAAUAUUGGACAAUGGGGGGAACCCUGAUCCAGCCAUGCCGCGUGUGUGAAGAAGGCCUUAUGGUUGUAAAGCACUUUAAGCGAGGAGGAGGCUCUUUUGGUUAAUACCCAAGAUGAGUGGACGUUACUCGCAGAAUAAGCACCGGCUAACUCUGUGCCAGCCGCCGCCGUAA